This 441-nucleotide ribosomal RNA is filed under the name uncultured bacterium. RNAcentral's name for it is "partial 16S ribosomal RNA". The record is from RNAcentral.
GACUACUGGGGUAUCUAAGCCCGUUCGCUACCCACGCUUUCGCUCCUCAGUGUCAGGUGACGCCCAGAAGACUGUCUUCACCAUUGGCGUUCCACACGAUAUCAACGCAUUUCACUGCUACACCGUGUGUUCCAUCUUCCCCUGCGCACCUCUAGUCAGGCAGUUUUGAGUACGGUUUCCAGGUUGAGCCUGGAUAUUUCAUACCCAACUUACCAAACCACCUACGAGCUCUUUACGCCCAGUAAAUCCGGAUAACGUUCGCACCCUACGUAUUACCGCGGCUGCUGGCACGUAGUUAGCCGGUGCUUAUUCAUCAGGUACCUUCAAGAUUAUUCCCUGAUAAAAGAAGUUUACGAUCCGAAAACCUUCAUCCUUCACGCAGUAUUGCUGCAUCAGACUUUCGUCCAUUGUGCAAAAUUCCCCACUGCAGCCUCCCGUAGG